Molecule: transfer RNA, 88 nt
Organism: Hymenobacter sp. CRA2
Lineage: Bacteria; Pseudomonadati; Bacteroidota; Cytophagia; Cytophagales; Hymenobacteraceae
Rfam family: tRNA
About the family: Transfer RNA (tRNA) molecules are approximately 80 nucleotides in length. Their secondary structure includes four short double-helical elements and three loops (D, anti-codon, and T loops).
Source: Rfam
GGAGAGGUGGGUGAGUGGCUUAAACCAGUAGUUUGCUAAACUGCCGUAGACCUAAAGUUUACCGGGGGUUCGAAUCCCCCCCUCUCCG